CAAGUAACACAACACCUCACAGGUUCACUUUCCCAAGUUACCAGGAGCCCUGGAAAACAAGGGCAAUGCCUUGCCCCUCUCUGCUCUCUUUCAUGACCUGGUGCGUAGUUGGUGCUCAGGCAUUUGUUGCUGUGAUUUACUGUCAUGAUUAAGUGUGUUUGGUGCAACUUGUAACAGUCUUGACUCACGUGCCUGCUCUAGUCUGGGGGUGAUGCCUGAUUGGGUACCGUGUGAAGCUGCAUUAGAUACAGUGGGAGGAGUGCUGGCUGGAGACCAGCGAGGGAGGGGUGUCUGCUGCAGGGGCACCUGGGAGCAGGGGCAGUAGGCACAUGGCAGUCGUUUGUCUUUUCCGAUAAGUACAUUGUGCUUACAGCAGAGGGGGGUGGAAGAGUGCUCAGAGGAAAUGAAACUCCCCAGUCUUCCCUGAAAGGGAGGGGCAGGAUUUAGAGAAAUAGAAAGAAGUGCUUUCAGUGAUGGAGAAGUACAAUGACAGAGACCACGGGUACCAGUGAGUCUGACAUAUAUGCAGGGUAUUAUGGGAGUUGACAGACUGGAGCAGAGGGAGUAGAGGAGGAGGAUGGAGACUUGGGUAGGACGGAGGCCCUGUGCCUGGUGGGGUGACAUGUCAGCUGGUGGUUGGUAGGCAGAGUGUAGACAGAUUGUGUAGAGGUCCUUGGGGAUGCCAGAUGGAGGAAUUUAGGCGUGAUACAGUCCCAUGCUUUUCAUGAAGCUUUCCCAAAUGCUCCAGACACAAUUAAUUGCUCCAUUCCACAUCUCCCCACAGGAGAUUCCCAGUACUCUGCUUUAGCUUUGAUUGUCAUCUGCCGUGUCUGGAAAUGUUUCUGUAUACAUCUGCUGUCCUCCUCCAGGACAUGGAUGGUGUCUUAGGCAUCUUUAAUCUGCACUGCUCAGGACUGCACCUGGUAUGGAAUAGACAUCCAGGGAAUGUGGUUGAAUCAAAUGGGAAUAGGGUGCCUGCACUGCCAACCAGGGUGGGGCAAAGGAGGGCAGUGCCUCUGUGGUGAAGCUGGGUGAAGAAGAGUGUGGCUGCCAACUGUCCCCACUACCAAGGGAACUCAGUCUGUGUCCCAGGAUGGGUGGGCUGGGAAGCAAGGCAAGUCUCAGGCAUCAAGUUUACAGGGGUGUGUAGAAUCCUGGAAGCCAGUUGGAAUUGAAGGCAGAACAGAGAAAAGAUGAGGUGGAAGGAGGAAAUUUGGAGAACUGAGACUAGGUGAAUUCCCAGAGGCAAUGACUUUGCAAGGCUCAUGGGUCCUAUGUGUGGAGAACCAUCCCUAAGCCUGUGAGUCAAAGGGAAUUAUCCAAGGAGUUGAAUCUCUUGAGAGAUGAGGAAUUGCUGAAGAUUCUCUUAGAUGAUUUAACUUUCAGAGAAGCAGAAUGAUCCUGUAGGCCCUGGGUAUUAGCUGGAACUCUUUGUUUGCAGCUGACCAAAACCCCAAUCCAAACUGGCUCAGUUUAUUGGCUUUUGUAACCAGAAAGCCCUAGGUGGGAGAAUUUUGGCUUCAGGUUCAGCUUGAUCCAGGGGCUCAUAUAGAGGCAUCAGAGCUGGGUGCCUUCUUUUUCUGAGCUUCUCUUUCUCUUUGACUCUCUUCCCAUUUUUUGACCUGGUGUUCGUUAGUGUUGGCUUUUCAUCUUCAUGUCCUCAUGGUAACUCUAGGCUUAUAGCCUCUGAGGGCUAAAUCAAGCCAAUGACAGAACUUCUGGCCGAGAGGCUUAGUGAAACUCUGGAUGAGUUCUACCUGACUUGGUUGGUAGGUACUGGGUCACAUGCCUAUCCUUGAACCAAUAACCUGGGUCACACACCGACCCAUGUAGCCCCUGGACUGAAAGUAGGAAAGACUCAGUUCUCAGAGGAAAGUCAGGGAACUGUUACCCUGAAAGUUUUGCUGGGUGGCAAGACCAUAAUGAGCUACCCUCGGCCAGCUGCUUUCUUUAGCCCCUGUAGCACAGCAGCAGCUGCCUCUGCCCUGCUGGGGAAUGAGGAGGCCACAUCUAGAGAGAGUGCCCUGUCAGCUUCCCCUGCUCUCUUCCCACGGGCCGGAUGUCUUUGAAGUUGGUCUCCACGGAGUGAUCGGCCAGGCCACCCGCUGGCCACCUCCAUUUGUCAUCUCAAGUACAUUCUGGAUGGCACCCUGGGCAGUGGCCCUGCCUGGCCUGGAUGGUCAUGAGGUCAUUGGGCUGGCAUCGGUCCUAUUGAUUUGUGUCUGUGUCCAAUCCUCCUAUCAGGACUCCACUUCUGGAGCCUGGGAGCACGGCCUUGCCCUGUCCUGUCCCGCGCAGCCUCUGAUGGUGAGUGUCUGGCGGUCCCCAGGGCUCUUUCCCACUCCACUUAUUCUGAUUUUCACUGUCACCUGGUGGGCAAAGGUGACUAUCCCAGUUUUACAGAUGAGGAAGCCGAGAAGCAGAAGGGGUAAAUGACAGCCUGGUGCCAUGGGAGGUGAACUCACUCGCAUCUUCCCCCUGAUUUGUCCUUUUAAACCAAAGGUGAAGGAGCACGAAGGCACAUUGACUAUUCCUGCCAGCCUCUUCAGGUAAAUGUGGCCUCAGCUGUCCUUGGCGGCCUGCUAGGCACAUGCAUCAUGAAUACCUGCAGAGGAAAGCGUGACCUCUGUUUAUGUCCCAGCAAGCUUGAGCUGAGGCCACCUGCUGCUCCCCCUCCUGAGGUCCCUGGCAGAGUUGCUAGAGGUUGAAACCCUGUAAGAGUGGCAGUGGCUCCUGAGGGCACCUCCAGAAACAUGAGGCAGUAGCUGAGAGUGUCUCUCGGGCGACAUGGAGUGACCCAGUCACCUGACAAGGCAGCAGCUGCACUUGGAUGUUGCUGCUUCUGGUUGGCUGUCUUCUCCAGGGUCCCUAGGCCCUCACACGGCUCCCCUAUGGGGCCCGAGUCUAGACAUGGCUCAUCAGAUCAUAGCGAAUUGUGGAUUCACAGCUGGAAGACAUCAUCCAUUCAGGCUGCUUGUUUUACAGCUGAGAAGCAGAGGUCAAACCUCAGAACCUUAUCUCAAGUCCCCCAUGUCCUUGUCCCUUUAGUCUCCCCCUCUCCUCAUACCUGUGCUCCUGCAGCUCUGGACCUCUCAUUGCCCUUGGCCCAUUUGCCUUUGUGGGUGCUCCUCCCUCCAACUGGAGGCAGUUGUGGGUGCAGAGCAGGAGCUGUGAGGCUCUACCCGAAUGUUUAGUUGUGGGCAUUUUAAUGGGGCUGGAGCCUGUGGUAUUGUUAUGGGUGGUAUGUUUGUGGCCCUCCAGGUUCAUGUGUUCAAAACUUAACUCCGGUGAGAUGGUGUUUAGAGGUGGGGUCUUUGGGAGCUGAUUGGGGUGGUUAGGUCUUGAGGGUAGGGCCUUCUUGAUGGGAUUAGUGCCGUGAGAAGAGGAGGAAGAGAGAUCUCUACAUGUAUAUACCCAUCAGGAAAGGCCUGCCAGGACAUCACGAGAAGGCAGCUGUCUACAAGCCUGGAAGAGGGCUCUCACCAGACCCCAGAUCCACCAGCACCUUGAUAUUGGAAUUCCCAGCCCCCAGACUGUAAGGUCUCUGUUGUUUAAGCCAUCCAGUCUAUGGUAUUUUGUUAUGGCAGCUUGAAUUGACUGAAAUAUAAUUAUGGAACUUCUAAGCGGGAAGGGCUGGUGAAUAAUGUUUGGUCAAAAUCUCUCAUUUUGCCUAUCUAUUUAUUCAUUUAUAAAUAUCGAGUAUAUUUUUGUGCCAGACUUGGGAAUACAGUGAUGCAUGAAAUAGAAAUGGUUUCUGAUUUUAUAAGAAAUUAUCACUUACUGAGAGACAAGUACCAAAGAUACAGUUUUUUAAAAAAAAUUGUAAUAUUCCACUGUGAAAUGACUGGCCAGUGGGGACCUGCUGUAUAGCACAGGGAAUUCUACCCCCAAUAUUCUGUGGUAAUCUGUAUGGGAAAAGAAUCUGGAAAAGAAAGGAUGAGUGUACAUGUAUAACUCAAUCACUCUAUUGUGCAGCAGAAAUUCUCACAACACUGGAAAUCAACUAUAUUUCAAGAAAACUUGACAAAAUGAAAAAAAUUCCAUUGUGAAUAGGGCUAUGCAGAAAUGCAGCAAGCUUUGAUAGCAUAUACCAGGGGCUGGAAUGUAGUAUGGGAGAUCAGCAAAGUUUUGCUGAGAAACUGUCAUUUAAGUGGAGCCUUGAAGCACAGGUAGAACUUAGCCUGAUGAAAAGGCAUGAAUGGUGGAGUGGUGGUUCUAGAGCAAGGGAACAGGACGUGGCCCUGAGUCAGUCACGGCAGAGCCAGGGCCAGCAGAGGACAACUCCCAGCCCUGGGUUCUCACCACACCCUGUGCUGGGCUUCGGUGAGCCCGUUUCAGAGUCAUGUGCUCCCACGGAGGGGAGGUGACGUAGGCGGGGCAGGUUCACGGGGGCAGGGUUGGGUGGGGGUGAAACAGGGUGGGCAGAGGCAUGUGGAAGGGAAAGCCUGGACUUGGGGGUACAGUGGGCGGGAGCAGGUUUGGCCAUGACUUGGAGUGGAGGCUCCUGCAGGAGGGAUGUGAACGAGGAGGAAGGUACAGGAGCCUGGACAGUGGUGAACAUUCACUGGAGGCUCAGCUUGGGAUUGAAAAGGGAGGGCUUCUGAGCUGUUGGAAUCAGCUGUUGUCUCCAUAGUCCGACCCCUUAUGCCAGGCUUGUUCUAGGGAGGCUUUUUGGUAACGGGGAAUGAUUCCUACCCUGCCUAUUUUUCUUUUUGGUACAUAUGUUAGAAUCCCACAUUCUCACAUUUUUAUAGCCCCUAUAGGUCUUGCUUUGUUGCUUAAUUCCUCCUCUACCUCCUAGUAGCCCCUGUGAGUACCUUAUGUGGGCCCAGUACAGUGCUGGAAGCUGGGGUCACAACAAUGGUGGGAGGUGAUCUCUGCCCAUGGGGAGCCCAGGCCUGCAGGAGGCAGAAGAGAUAUGUGUGCAGGGGAAACUCUGUUUUCUAUUGCCAGCAUGUACGUGUCAGGUUGACUAGGUCACCCAAGGUUGCUGGAGACACCCUCUCUGCUGCUGCCUCCCACUUCAUCAGUUGCCCUGCAAAGACUUGGGCCCUGUGAGUAGAUGAGCAAAUCAAAGAGGUGAAUCUUACCUGGCUCAUCAAGCCUUUGUAGGUGAGGAGCUCUGUGAAGGUAGGGGUCAGGCUUUCUGAGGAGGAACCAGGUGCUCAGGAAUGGAUGGAUGGAUGAAGGAUGUAUUGAUGACGAUGGAUAUUGUUACCACAGCACUUGAAAAAGGACGCUUGAAUAUAGGACGGCAGACAACCAAAUACAAUUAAGGAUCCUGGCAUCUCUAAUUCCCUGCUAGGUGACAGUUUCUGUUUCUCAAGGCUCUACAUGGGGUUCCCUGGUUUAGAGACUGUAGGUUUGGAGCCUCUCCUGUUCAGUGAAACAUCAGUGUAUAAAGAAGAUAAAUCAGGGUUCAGAAUUAGAUUCUGAGCCUUUAUGUCUCUAGUGACUUGAAUCUCAUAGGGGACUUUGAUCCACAUGAUAGGGUGGUCUCUGGGUAAGAACUGGUUCUUUCUUGAGAGAUGGUUUGGGUGUCUCUGCCCACCCAGGAUCCUCGGUGAGUGGGGAGGAUCCUUGCUGGUGGCUGGGUGUGUGUCACGAGCACAUGGCUGUUCCUGGCCAGUGCAGGGAGACUGGGAUGCAGGAGUCAUGUACUCUUUUCAUUUACCCUGGGGUAGAGCUUUUAAUGUGCAGCCCCUGCCCAGAGGUCACCUCAUUUCAAGUUCAUUCAGGAGAGCUCUUGCUUGUCUCUCUAUACCCGUCCCAUCCCUUCAUCCUCACCAUUGUUUAUUCCUCAUGCUCCCCCUCCAUCCUGGCCACUGACUCCAUAUCUUCUCUGUGAGACGUCCCGCAGGUGCUUUAGCCAGGUGCACGUUGCCAUCUCACCCCAUGAGGAACCUGACUUUUCCUGGUGGCUUCCUUUUCAAAUGACUAACUGAACAUUCUCUUUCUCUGCUGAACAGUCAUCUUGUGAAGUAAUUACCUUCCCUUCCCAUAAUUGCUGUUUUGCAAGAUGUUUUUUCUUUUCAGGCCUGCACCUGAAGCAUAUGGCAGUUCCCAGGCUAGGGGUCUAAUCAGAGCUGCAGCUGCCAGCCUACCCCACAGCCAUGGCAAUACUGGGUCUGAGCCACAUCUGUGACCUACACUGAAGCCUGUGGCAAUGCCACAUCCUUAACUCAGUGAGGCCAGGGAUCGAACCAGCAUCUUCAGGGAUACUGUGUUGGGUUCUUAGCCCACUGAGCCACAAUAGGAACUCCUACAAGAAUUUUUUAAACACUACAUUUGCUUGAUGUAGAGAUGUCCUUUUUUUUAAAAGGAGUACUUUUAAGCGCAGGACUGGGGACCCUGCUGACACUGGCUUCUAGGCAAACUGGCUGGUUGUGUUCUCUGGGCUGUGAUGGUUCAGCUGGCAUUAUGUUAGAGUCUCUGUAAUAAAGAGUCACAUUAAAGCAAGGUUAUAUUUCUUAUAAUCAAUUCCAUCAAGUAAUGCACCGAGGAUUCUGGAAAGAGAAACCAAAGUCUUCAAAAAGGCGAGAAAGGAGGACAAGAGAAAGAGAUAAAAGAGCCCAAACAAUUCAGUUACAUGAAUGGGCCUAGUAUUAUUGUGGCAAAAUUACUUAUAAAUAAAAGCUAAAGAGGAAAAACAAGCUGUGUUUGGUAGGUGUACUCUGUGUUCCCUGUCUUGUUUUUCUGCUCUAAAGUAUAAAACGCUGUGUUGACGUAGGGAUGUAACUGCUAUGAAUAUUGAUGGCAGCCAAAGCCUUUUUUUCCUGUCUGUCCCAGUAAAUAAAGCAGAAAGGAUAAAGAGAGAGGAAGAAUUAUAAAAUCAGCUUGCUCUUUCCAGCUCAUCUUGCUCCCUUACAGCUCUAAACUCUCAAAAAGACGCUGACAAGCUACUUUCGGUGGUCAGGGUCCAAUUUGAGUACAAUCGAUGGAUGUUUUCAGGGGUUUCUGCUUCUGGUUAAAGCUACAGAGUUGCUUUUCCUUGUAGCUCCCACAGUUAGUGUCACUGCCUCAUGGAAGCCUUGGUGGAUUUCUCCUCUGUAGCGAGUAGUAAAGUCGGUUGCUAUACCUAAGAACGUACACAGUGGCAUGAGGGCACCUCCCAUGGGAGCCUGCCAGCCGGGGGUGUGGCAGUGAACUGGAAGAUGAGCCCUUGCUCUGGUGAGGCUCACGAGGACUCCAGAGAGUAAACAGGAGAGUCCUUAGAGGUCCGUGUGUGGCACGAGGUGCUGGGGUGGGCAUGCUGCUGCUCUGGGAGAUUUCAGCUUCUUAUCCCAGCUUGGAGGGCAUGGCUGGUGGUGCAGAGGGAGUGGGUCGAGGUCCAAGAAGGUCUUCACAGCCUGGUGAAGGGCGAAGGGUGCACGGGAUAAGCCAGGCCGAGAGCAGCACCUGAUGGGGAACCUGGAGGAAACGUGAGUAUGGAGAUUGGGGAUGAGUGAGGCUUUUUAUUCCUAUUAUGUUCUUUAUUUAUUUAUUUAUUUUUGAGCUAGGCUUGUUAAAUUGAAAACGUAUUGACUCUGGCUAACUCACACCACAGAGGAAUUCGUUAGACCGCUAAGAUGGUGUCCCAGGGAUCAAGGGGUGCCCCAAGGCCAGUUAGGAAUGGCAGGGACCUGGGGAUGAGAGAGCCCAUGGGACUGGCUAGUCAGCAUUACGAGUGGGGAGUUGAGAAUGGGGGUAGAGCCUGGGGUAACCCUACGGUUGGAUGGUUCUCCUGCUGGUAAAGAGGAAAGAUGCAGUGGCGAGUCUCUGUGAUGUCCCACCCAGGACUGGGACUCGUCUAUGAUCAAGGGGCGGUGCUCUGGUGGCAGAUGGCUAGAGCGAAGGGUGGCUUGGGCAAAAUCGUGCUCACAUGGAACAAGAAAGUCUUUGCAGGAGGAAAGUGAUUUAUCCCUUGGGUCUUAUCAGACACCUCAAGAUGCAGAACUUGCUCUUCGUCAGUUCCCUCUCCUGGAGUGUUGUCUGCGUCCACAUUCAAAACCCCCACCUCAGAGUUCCCCGUGGUGCAGUGGUUAACCAAUCUGACUAGGAACCGUGAGGUUGUAGGUUCCAUCCCUGGCUUUGCUCAGUGGGUUAAGGAUCCGACAUGAGCUGUGGUGUAGGUUGCAGACGUGGCUCGGAUCCCGAGUUGCUGUGGCUGUGGCUGUGGCGUAGUAGGCCAGCAGCUAUAGCUCCAAUUAGACCCCUAGCUUGGGAAUCUCCAUAUGCCACGGGAGUGGCC
This 8230-nucleotide long non-coding RNA is filed under the name Sus scrofa (pig). RNAcentral describes it as "lncRNA (ENSSSCG00015079659.1)". The record is from RNAcentral. Lineage: Eukaryota; Metazoa; Chordata; Mammalia; Artiodactyla; Suidae.